UCGAGAAGACCACCCACACCUCUUUGCUAGCCACACCGAAUCUCGAGGACGAGAUUCAUCUUAAGGGGGUUAGGUCUGUAAUAUCCCAAAAUUUCAAACCUUUACAUGAGCAUUGCCUUCAUAAGCAUCAUGCCAUAAUUGCAUAUUUGAAUUCAAAUUUGAAUCUCAAAAGGGCUUUGGAAAGAUUUUUGUUUCUUUUUAAACCCUAGGGUUUACACCCAUUUGAGCCUUGGAUCUUCAAACCAUUAAGGUUUAAGUAUAAAAGGGGUUUAUUGCAUAAUUUUUGGAUAAUUAUUUGGAGUUCGAUUUUUUUUAAUUUAAAUAGAUAUAUGGCCCUAAAGGCAUUUAUAGGGCAAAUGUAUAUUUAUAUAUUUUAUUUUCAAGAGAAACUACUUCCAAAAGUUUUAUCAUGGUAGAACAUGAUUUUACAAGUUUUCUGGGAUUUAGUUGGACCAAUUUGGAGUUCAAAAUCAAAAGUAUCAAAGGAAUAAGAAAAACAGAAAAAGAAAAGGGUAAAAGAAAAAAAGAGGAGCAAACGGACCGGCCCGGCCGAAUUGGGCCGAACCGGCCCAACUCCUUGCGCGCGCCCGCCGCCCAGCCCGCCCCG
This 607-nucleotide long non-coding RNA is filed under the name Brachypodium distachyon (stiff brome). RNAcentral describes it as "long non-coding RNA (BDIS_LNC004706)". The record is from RNAcentral. Lineage: Eukaryota; Viridiplantae; Streptophyta; Magnoliopsida; Poales; Poaceae.